AGCAGUAGCCACGGGAAUACGGAGGAUCCAAGCGUUAUCCGGAAUCAUUGGGUUUAAAGGGUCCGUAGGCGGUCUUGUAAGUCAGUGGUGAAAGCCCAUCGCUCAACGGUGGAACGGCCAUUGAUACUGCAGGACUUGAAUUAUUGGGAAGUAACUAGAAUAUGUAGUGUAGCGGUGAAAUGCUUAGAGAUUACAUGGAAUACCAAUUGCGAAGGCAGGUUACUACCAAUUGAUUGACGCUGAUGGACGAAAGCGUGGGUAGCGAACAGGAUUAGAUACCCCGGUAGUCCCUGUCUCUUAUAC
Molecule: ribosomal RNA, 303 nt
Filed under: uncultured bacterium
Lineage: Bacteria
Description: partial 16S ribosomal RNA
Rfam family: Bacterial small subunit ribosomal RNA
Source: RNAcentral